UACGUAGGGGGCUAGCGUUGUCCGGAAUCAUUGGGCGUAAAGCGCGUGUAGGCGGCCCGGUAAGUCCGCUGUGAAAGUCGGGGGCUCAACCCUCGGAUGCCGGUGGAUACUGUCGGGCUUGAGUACGGAAGAGGCGAGUGGAAUUCCUGGUGUAGCGGUGAAAUGCGCAGAUAUCGGGAGGAACACCAGUAGCGAAGGCGGCUCGCUGGGCCACACCUGACGCUGAGACGCGAAAGCUAGGGGAGCGAACAGG
This 253-nucleotide ribosomal RNA is filed under the name uncultured bacterium. RNAcentral describes it as "partial 16S ribosomal RNA". It matches the Rfam family "Bacterial small subunit ribosomal RNA", at positions 524 to 776 of the family's 1533-position model. The record is from RNAcentral.